RNAcentral lists this unclassified non-coding RNA (235 nucleotides) under plant metagenome. RNAcentral describes it as "partial contains small subunit ribosomal RNA, internal transcribed spacer 1, and 5.8S ribosomal RNA". The record is from RNAcentral.
UUUCCGUAGGUGAACCUGCGGAAGGAUCAUUAAAGUUAUAGUCCCCCGGCCCCUCCGGGCUGGGGUCUUCUAUACCACCCUUUGUUUGUUACACCUUUGUUGCUUUGGCAGGCCUGCCCUCGGGCUGCUGGCUCCGGCCGGCUCGUGCCUGCCAGAGGACCUAAACUCUGUUUGUAUAUGAAGUCUGAGUACUAUAUAAUAGUUAAAACUUUCAACAACGGAUCUCUUGGUUCUG